This 497-nucleotide ribosomal RNA is filed under the name uncultured bacterium. RNAcentral describes it as "partial 16S ribosomal RNA". It matches the Rfam family "Bacterial small subunit ribosomal RNA", at positions 28 to 507 of the family's 1533-position model. The record is from RNAcentral.
GAUGAACGCUGGCGGUGUGCCUAAUACAUGCAAGUCGAGCGAACAGACGAGGAGCUUACUCCUCUGACGUUAGCGGCGGACGGGUGAGUAACACGUGGAUAACCUACCUAUAAGACUGGGAUAACUUCGGGAAACCGGAGCUAAUACCGGAUAACAUGUUGAACCGCAUGGUUCAACAGUGAAAGACGGUCUUGCUGUCACUUAUAGAUGGAUCCGCGUCGCAUUAGCUAGUUGGUAAGGUAACGGCUUACCAAGGCAACGAUGCGUAGCCGACCUGAGAGGGUGAUCGGCCACACUGGAACUGAGACACGGUCCAGACUCCUACGGGAGGCAGCAGUAGGGAAUCUUCCGCAAUGGGCGAAAGCCUGACGGAGCAACGCCGCGUGAGUGAAGAAGGUCUUCGGAUCUUAAAACUCUUUUAUUAGGGAAGAACAAAUGUGUAAGUAACUAUGCACGUCUUGACGGUACCUAAUCAGAAAGCCACGGCUAACUACGUG